Molecule: ribosomal RNA, 465 nt
Filed under: uncultured bacterium
Lineage: Bacteria
Description: partial 16S ribosomal RNA
Rfam family: Bacterial small subunit ribosomal RNA
Source: RNAcentral
CCUACGGGAGGCUGCAGUGGGGAAUAUUGCGCAAUGGGCGAAAGCCUGACGCAGCGACGCCGCGUGAGGGAUGAAGGUCUUCGGAUCGUAAACCUCUGUCAGCAGGGAAGAACGGUCACUGUGCUAAUCAGCAGUGAAUUGACGGUACCUGCAAAGGAAGCACCGGCUAACUCCGUGCCAGCAGCCGCGGUAAUACGGAGGGUGCGAGCGUUAAUCGGAAUUACUGGGCGUAAAGCGCUCGUAGGCGGUAUGUCAAGUCAAGGGUGAAAUCCCCGGGCUCAACGUGGGAACUGCCUUUGAAACUGGCAAACUGGAGUGUGUGAGAGGAUAGUGGAAUUCCAGGUGUAGGAGUGAAAUGCGUAGAUAUCUGGAGGAACAUCAGUGGCGAAGGCGACUAUCUGGCACAUAACUGACGCUGAGGAGCGAAAGCGUGGGUAGCAAACAGGAUUAGAUACCCGGGUAGUC